GACUUGUCUGCCCUGCGGUUGACAGGAGUGUGGAGUGUGUGCCCUUUGGGCCAUUACCACACACGCUCUGGCCCAUGAGUCCUGUGUCUUGGUGCAAGCCCUGUGCGUCACCACAGCAACCUCCAUCGCACCCUGAGUUUUCAGAUGAGGACACGGAGGUUCAGAAUGGACGGGCAGAUGGAUGGAGACGCGAGCACAUGGCUGGGGACAGGCAGGGCACUGGGCCUAUGUAGAACACAGAUGUAUCCCAGGCUGUCUGGCUACUCCUCAGGCCAGUAGCUAGUCUUUAUCCAACAAAUAGGGUCCCUUCAGAAAUUUCCAAGAGCAAAGCUGGCCCUGGCAGGCCCCGGUCCUCUGAGAGGGCCUGGGGGGACCUGGCUUGUCUGGAGUGACAACAGCUGUCACCCAGCCCCAGACCGACUCUGCUCCAGGUGAAGGGCUUUCUACAGGAAAUGCCCAGAUUCCCAGGAUCUCAUCGGAGCUGCCCGUGUCCCCCCUCCAGCCCCUUUCUCCCCUGGAAGGAUUUUUUUGCUCCCCUGGGAAGGUGGACGGGCAGGGUAAAGGGCCUGGGUUAGAACCCCGCCCCUGCCCCCCUUGCUGCAGGGCCUCAAGCAGCGCCCCUAACCCCUCUGGGCCUCGGUUCCCUUUCUUGUCGGCUUCCAGGGAAAUAAAUGCAAGUCCAAACCCAACUGAGCUCACACAGAGCAGCGGGGCUGGGAUCACAAAGGCAGUGAGUGCUGGUGAGGACGGAGAGGAGCAGGACCCUUCACGCGCUGCUGGUGGAGACUUGACCCAGCGGCUGCUGACAACCUCAGACAGGUCCUGGGGGUGUCAAUCACAGGGGACUGAAGACAGACGUCUGCACAAACCCCGUGAAGGAAUAUUCAAGCAGCAUUGUCACGACAGCCCGGGAUGGGAAGAACACACACGUGCGGGCACUGAGGGGUGGCCAAAUAAAACGUGCUCCAUCCAGACAGUGGAGUAUUAUUUGGCAAUAAAAAGAAGAGGUAUUCUGAGCCACGCUCCAUCACAGAUGGACCUUGAGAGCAUCGUGCUGGGUGAAAGCAACCAGACCCCAAAGCCGCCAUACAAGGAGUCAUACGAAAUGCCCAGAAUAGAAAAAUCCCUAGAGACGAAAGUCAGGUGGGGCAUCCCUGAUGGAGGCGGAGCGAAGCGCCUGCUAACGCGCACGGAUUUCCUCUGGGGGCAAUGCCCGUUUCUAGAGUCGACUGUGGUGGCGGCUGCCCAAUGGUGUGAACAGACUGAAAGCCACUGAGCGGAUUCCCCAGAUGGGGCUGGGGACCAAACCUGGGACUCUCGUACCAGCGAGGAAAGUGCUCCAGCGCAGAGCCACACCCCAGCCUUGUUUUUCCUCCUGUGGUUACAAUGAUUCUGAGAAGCCUCCCACAGCUUUGCCAUUGGCCAGAAGAGGCCGAGGCGCCUGACCUAAGCCGAUCCUGACAGUUCCACUGUCCUAGCCAAGGCCGGCUUAACAAUCGUCAUGUGAUCCGGCGAUGGCCAAUGAGGUGUGAACCCUGCUGGGGGAAGGGAGUCCUGGGAAAGUUCCUUGACUGUUAAAAAGAGACUCUCUUGGUGUCUGAGCGAGGGAGGGCUGGGAAUUUCUUCCGCCACUGGGCUUCCAUGAGGAGAGCCGUGAUCCUUGUAGAUGGCAGGGAUGACCAACGGGAAAAGCCUGGGACUCUGAGGAUGCCGUGGAGCUGGUGGCUGAGCCAGACUCAGAGCCACCCUCCCUUCAGACUCAUGCUUUGACCAAUACACCUCUUAAAAUCCA
Molecule: non-coding RNA, 1792 nt
Organism: Ictidomys tridecemlineatus (thirteen-lined ground squirrel)
Lineage: Eukaryota; Metazoa; Chordata; Mammalia; Rodentia; Sciuridae
Source: RefSeq, a predicted model, not a curated record